Molecule: long non-coding RNA, 844 nt
Filed under: Ovis aries (sheep)
Lineage: Eukaryota; Metazoa; Chordata; Mammalia; Artiodactyla; Bovidae
Description: lncRNA (ENSOARG00000026457.1)
Source: RNAcentral
AUGGACACGCACCGGGCUUCUGGAAGUGGUUGGAAGCCGUGGCCUUGCCCAGCAGCUCACAGUGCAUCACCGCACCCCAGCAGGUGUCCUGCGAGGCCGUCACCUCCCAGGCAGGGCUGUAACUGUUUGCAUGGUCUGCCUCCCACCAGAAUGAGUGCAGGGUGGUGCAGGUGUCUUGGCGACCUUUCUUUUGCCCUGGAGGAAGAUGGCUCUGGUGCAAGGGGCGAGCUCUGGGCCACAGCUUUGGGGAGAGAACUGAGUCAAGUGGAGAGUUUCACAGAGCACAGGGGGAGGGGCACGGGGCAGCUCUGCAGCGAGGUGGCCCAGCAAAGACAGAAUCACCCCAGAAAGAAAGCUCUCCAACCACAGCCUGGAGGUGGGGUCAGGGCUUCGCUGCCAGCCCCCUUGCCUUCCCCUGACCACCCCAAGUUCUGCCCUGGUCCCGCCUCUCGGCCCCAGGAAUGGAGCUUUCUGCCAUUCCCAAUGGCAGAGCCGGUCUGGGAUUUCCUCAUCCAAGUGAAAGCCAACCCAGUUCUUCUCCUGCUCGAUACAUCUGUCCUCUGCUCUGGGCAAAGCUCUGGCCCAGAGACCUCUGAGAGCCGGGCAGCUCCCAGCCACAUCUGUCCCCGGGCCCCCUGGAUUUGGAGACACGGCUGUCCUGAGACUCAGCGAAACCGUCUGAGGAGCUGCUCCGCCCCUGCGUGCUCUGGUUACUGGGUGUUCUCGUAUUUCAGGUAUCUGAUCAGCCUGCCUGGAAGCGGCAACGUGUCCAGGAGUUUGAUGCGGUAUUUCCCGAUGGCCUUUCGAACUCGCAGCCGGCAAAGAUGAGCCAGGGGUCUUGGAG